This is a non-coding RNA of Brachypodium distachyon (stiff brome), 125 nucleotides long. Lineage: Eukaryota; Viridiplantae; Streptophyta; Magnoliopsida; Poales; Poaceae. The record is from Rfam.
GUAAUACUCUCUUCGAUCCGUAUUAAUUGUCAAAAUAUUACAUGUAUCUAGACGCUUCUUAGGCAUUGAUACAUCCAUAUUUGGAUAAAUUUGAGACAAUUAGUAUGGAUCGGAGAGAGUACCAA